Puntigrus tetrazona (Sumatra barb) is the source of this 1516-nucleotide long non-coding RNA. RefSeq lists it as uncharacterized. The transcript is spliced from 3 exons. NCBI's taxonomy places the organism in Eukaryota, Metazoa, Chordata, Actinopteri, Cypriniformes, Cyprinidae. The record is from RefSeq and is a predicted model, not a curated record.
AAUCAAUGUAAUUUUCACACUGCCAGUCAGAGAUGGUGGGGCGUUGGGGAGAUGAUGCAGGGCAGCGGGGAUUAAACCAGUCACCGUCCGUCAAACAAAUGCCCGGUGUUGCCAUGGAAACCGCCGCCUGAUAGGGAUUACGGAGCGUCUAAGGGGUGGCAGAGCUGGGACUGAUAAAGGAGCCUUGUUUCACACCAACCUAAUCCCCCUGUGUCAAUACACAGAUAAAGCUUCAAAUGGCGUGUGCAAAAGAGUAAAGUUUUCAGAUCGUUCCUAAACCCGAGCCAAACAUCAGCAGCCUGUGAAAACCCCCCGUGUCAAACUCUGAAAAUACACCACAGGCAAAAUGUGCAUAAGAGGCUGGGGCACCAGAAAUUCAAAGCUGGCGGAGGGAAUUGCAGCUCACAGCUCUGAUGUUGUUUGACAGCUUUUGCCAGGCACCGUUUGAGCGGUGUGAAGCUGACACACUGAUCUCAUUCCUGGUCACAUGUCAAAAUCUCUCCGUGCUUAAAUCCACACCGCCGCCUCCUCUUCCUCACAAGGUCAGUAUUUACGCUCUGCAUGUAUGGAGACGAUUAUGCAAAUGGCGUUUACAGCAAACGAAUGCAAUUAAACGAAAGGAAAAACUGCGAGAGAUUUCCCUAACAUCUGCAUAAUAUGCUGACUUCUCAAGCGCUUGUGUGUGACUGUUGUGGUUUCUAUGUGCACUUUCCAUUUCUUUUAAAAACAAUCUUGGCUCAGAGUCUCGUAUUUAGACGAAUGUGUAAGUAUCUUACGAAAUCCAUUUAUGAGAUAAAGCUACCUUCCCAUGUUAUAUAAAUUAUAGCCAUAAUCUUCUGCACUGCCCUCUUCAAUAUCGACUCCCUCCGCAACAACAACACACACACACACACACACACACACACACACACACAGUAUUCAUCUACAAAACACAAAUCACCCUCUGAUAAAUCAUAACAACCAAUCUCUGUAAUCAAAGCCAUAUGUCCUCACGUAAAUUAUGAAUUUGCACACACUAGAUCACAUAAAACAGCUUUAAACACAUAGCAUCUUGUCAGCUAAUGACAUGUUCUGUAUCGCAAUCUAUCCCCCACACAUUUUCAUCUUUUAUAUUUUACUUUGUACGUUUAGUACGCAAAUUACCUCCAGUGGCUGCUUACCUGCAGGUAAUUUCAGGUUUUAUUUUUCUUGUCAGGACAUUUGGUCUUUAUAAUGUAGGCUAAAGCUGCCUCCCACACACACACACACACACACACACUCACACUCACACACACACGCACGGAUGGUGGUACUCAGUCAGCAUUGCUUUCACACUGUGAGCUGUGCCACUCCAGAGGAAACACCCAUGUCUUUCAGCGUUGCCAUGGCAGCACUCUCUCCUCUCCAAACAGGCGGCUGAGAUGGGUUUUGUCACCGAGCAGCUUUCAGUCGGCGCUGAACUGACUGAACCUCGUCUGCGGCCAGCAUGCAUCUGUGCAGCACACUGUUUGCCCACUGCGUGUCCGUUGUGUGUUUU